GAUGAAAACGCAGCGAAAUGCGAUAAGUAAUGUGAAUUGCAGAAUUCCGUGAAUCAUCGAAUCUUUGAACGCACAUUGCGCCCCCUGGCAUUCCGGGGGGCAUGCCUGUCCGAGCGUCAUUUCUGCCCUCCAGCCCGGCUGGGUGUUGGGCGCUGUCCCCCCGGGGACACGCCCCAAAGGCAGUGGCGGCGCCGCGUCGGGUCCUCGAGCGUAUGGGGCUUUGUCACCCGCUCGGGACGGACUCGUCGGCGCUGGUCUUCCUCCAGGCGACCCUUCGGGGCUCGUCUUCCUUCGGUUGACCUCGGAUCAGGUAGGGUUACCCGCUGAACUUAAGCAUAUCAAUAAGCGGAGGA
This 353-nucleotide unclassified non-coding RNA is filed under the name soil metagenome. RNAcentral describes it as "partial contains 5.8S ribosomal RNA, internal transcribed spacer 2, and large subunit ribosomal RNA". The stretch from base 1 to 119 matches the Rfam family "5.8S ribosomal RNA", at positions 35 to 154 of the family's 154-position model. The record is from RNAcentral.